AUGCAAGUCGAACGAACUCUGGUAUUGAUUGGUGCUUGCAUCAUGAUUUACAUUUGAGUGAGUGGCGAACUGGUGAGUAACACGUGGGAAACCUGCCCAGAAGCGGGGGAUAACACCUGGAAACAGAUGCUAAUACCGCAUAACAACUUGGACCGCAUGGUCCGAGCUUGAAAGAUGGCUUCGGCUAUCACUUUUGGAUGGUCCCGCGGCGUAUUAGCUAGAUGGUGGGGUAACGGCUCACCAUGGCAAUGAUACGUAGCCGACCUGAGAGGGUAAUCGGCCACAUUGGGACUGAGACACGGCCCAAACUCCUACGGGAGGCAGCAGUAGGGAAUCUUCCACAAUGGACGAAAGUCUGAUGGAGCAACGCCGCGUGAGUGAAGAAGGGUUUCGGCUCGUAAAACUCUGUUGUUAAAGAAGAACAUAUCUGAGAGUAACUGUUCAGGUAUUGACGGUAUUUAACCAGAAAGCCACGGCUAACUACGUGCCAGCAGCCGCGGUAAUACGUAGGUGGCAAGCGUUGUCCGGAUUUAUUGGGCGUAAAGCGAGCGCAGGCGGUUUUUUAAGUCUGAUGUGAAAGCCUUCGGCUCAACCGAAGAAGUGCAUCGGAAACUGGGAAACUUGAGUGCAGAAGAGGACAGUGGAACUCCAUGUGUAGCGGUGAAAUGCGUAGAUAUAUGGAAGAACACCAGUGGCGAAGGCGGCUGUCUGGCUGUAACUGACGCUGA
Molecule: ribosomal RNA, 728 nt
Filed under: Lactiplantibacillus pentosus
Lineage: Bacteria; Bacillati; Bacillota; Bacilli; Lactobacillales; Lactobacillaceae
Description: bacterial SSU rRNA
Rfam family: Bacterial small subunit ribosomal RNA
Source: RNAcentral